Xyrauchen texanus (razorback sucker) is the source of this 1355-nucleotide long non-coding RNA. RefSeq lists it as uncharacterized. The record is from RefSeq and is a predicted model, not a curated record. The transcript has 3 exons. NCBI's taxonomy places the organism in Eukaryota, Metazoa, Chordata, Actinopteri, Cypriniformes, Catostomidae.
CCCUAGACACCCAGGAACAUUUGGCGUUGCUUGACAACAGUUUGAGGCAGGAUAAAGAGCUCCAGCAACGAUUUCUUCGGUUUUUGGCAAUCAAAUGUGGGAGGGACCUAAAGACAACCGUGUGGCGAAUGCUUCAGAGUAUCUUCUCUAAUCACCUUUCCAUCAAUACAACCUGGACUGGUGUAGGGGAUAAAGCAUGUUUUAGAGACAUGUUCCUGAAGACCAUUGUUCAAAGAGCCAUCCGGAAGAACCCGGCAACACAGGAUGCCACUGAUGAGGCGAUCCAGGUUAGCGUUACGCGUUACCUGAAAGGAGCAUCUGAACAUGAAGGUGGAAAAAGGCGCCGCACAGCUGAGAGGGACCCACAGCCGACCCCUUAAACCUAGGCUGACUACUGACACCCCAGCAUCACUGACAACUGGAACCCUUUCUUUAUCCUGCAGUCAGUAACAUCAAGACCCCUAAAGAAGCCUGCUAAAAGUGUCAGACUACACUCACCCAAUCCACACUGUUCACUGUGGAAAUUGCUUUUUUUUUCUUUUUUUUUUUUUUUUCUCGUGACCCUGCUUUGAGGGCAGCUCCUUGGAUGAAUAUGGGAUGGUUUGUCCUUUUAUACAGGCGCACGAGGAAUCACUGAAGAUAUGCCAAUUUGCACUGCCUCAUUCUGGGGGUCGGGAAAACCGGUGAUUCUUAGCCCAGAAGUCCCCAACCUCUCCAGACAUUCUGAUUGGCUGUGUUCUCUACAGCCAGAUUUUCUGCUGUUAAUUAUAUUUAUUCCCACUUGUUGUCAUGUGUAAGUUGAAUGUCAAAAUGUAUAUUAUACCUGCACAUUCCUUGAUACCAAAGAUCUCAAUUAUUUCAUAUACAAUUUGCUGCUUAUUUCAUUGUUACAGUGCUUAACUAUUCUAUUUUUAAAUAUAGCUUGUAAAUCCUAGAUUAUACAUCUAAUACUUGAUAUUUGCACAUUAUCUGGUAUCAAAUAUUCUACUUACCGUGACUUUAGUAUUGGCUUAUUUCAUUCCGUCAGUGCUUAACAAUUCUAUUAUAGUUUGUAAAUCCUAUUUCAUACCUCUGAUACUUGAUAUUGCACAUUAACUAGUACCAAAAAUUCUACUUUCAUUCCAUCACAGUGUUUAACUGUUAUUCUAUUGUUACAUAUAGCUUGUAAAUCCUUGUGCCACAAGUCAGCAUUGCAGUUAUAAUGGUAUAUUCUACUCCAGAGCUUUACUCUAAAUUAUUACCACUUAACCUAUUGUUAGAAAUGACUUGUAAAUAUGAUGUUAUACCUCAAUUUAUUUGGUAUCCUGCACUUUCUUUGGUACCAAAUAUCCUCAUUGCUUGUGUUUACUGGUAAU